AUUGAACGCUGGCGGCAUGCCUUACACAUGCAAGUCGAACGGUAACGCGGGGCAACCUGGCGACGAGUGGCGAACGGGUGAGUAAUGCAUCGGAACGUGCCCAGAAGUGGGGGAUAGCCCGGCGAGAGCCGGAUUAAUACCGCAUGAGACCUGAGGGUGAAAGCGGGGGAUCGCAAGACCUCGCGCUUUUGGAGCGGCCGAUGUCAGAUUAGCUAGUUGGUGGGGUAAAGGCCUACCAAGGCGACGAUCUGUAGCUGGUCUGAGAGGACGACCAGCCACACUGGGACUGAGACACGGCCCAGACUCCUACGGGAGGCAGCAGUGGGGAAUUUUGGACAAUGGGCGCAAGCCUGAUCCAGCCAUGCCGCGUGCGGGAAGAAGGCCUUCGGGUUGUAAACCGCUUUUGUCAGGGAAGAAACGCUCUGGGCUAAUACCCUGGGGUAAUGACGGUACCUGAAGAAUAAGCACCGGCUAACUACGUG
RNAcentral lists this ribosomal RNA (482 nucleotides) under uncultured bacterium. Its description in RNAcentral is "partial 16S ribosomal RNA". It matches the Rfam family "Bacterial small subunit ribosomal RNA", at positions 29 to 507 of the family's 1533-position model. The record is from RNAcentral.